RNAcentral lists this ribosomal RNA (335 nucleotides) under Acrocercops mantica. RNAcentral describes it as "partial 12S ribosomal RNA". The record is from RNAcentral. Lineage: Eukaryota; Metazoa; Arthropoda; Insecta; Lepidoptera; Gracillariidae.
GAUGUGUACAUAUUUUAAUUUAAAAUCAUUUUAUUAAAUUAAAUAAAAUUACAUUUAAAUCCAAUUUUAAAUAAAUUUUUCAAUUUAUUAUCCAAAAAUAAAUUUAUUGUAAUCCAUUAUAUUCUUAAAUAUAAACUACAUCUUGAUUUGAUUUAAUUUAUUUUUUAAAUUUUAAAAUAUUAAAUUUUAUAAAAAAUAUUUUUUUAACAACGAUAUAUAAAUUUUUAAUUUAAGUAAAUUUAUUCGUGGAUUAUCAAUUAUUAAACAGAUUCCUCUAAAUUUACUAAAAUACCGCCAAAUUAUUUAAAUUUAAAUAAAUAAUUAUUUACUAAUUU